Long non-coding RNA from Oncorhynchus keta (chum salmon), 1114 nucleotides. RefSeq lists it as uncharacterized. The transcript is spliced from 3 exons. NCBI's taxonomy places the organism in Eukaryota, Metazoa, Chordata, Actinopteri, Salmoniformes, Salmonidae. The record is from RefSeq and is a predicted model, not a curated record.
AUCUAUUAGUAUUUAUGUCUUACUCUGUAUGUGUUUUGAGGUGAACAGCUAAGGAAGGAAUAUCUUGUCUCUUUAUUGAUUUAUAGCUUUAGAUGGCAGACAUAAAUUCUGGUUCCAAGUUCAUUUAAUGUUAUGUGUCUUGUUUUGGCAUCAGCUGGACCUUAUCAUCCAGACUGCUUCCACAGUGGUGCAUGAAGCCCUGUCUGUAGGCUUCACUAACUCUUCCCAUCCCUCUCCCUCAGUCCCAGCACUGUCUGUAGGUCUAACUCUUCCCGUCUCUCUCCCUCAGUCCCAGCACUGUCUGUAGGUCUAACUCUUCCCGUCCCUCUCCCUCAGGCCCAGCACUGUCUGUAGGCUUCACUAACUCUUCCCGUCCCUCUCCCUCAGGCCCAGCACUGUCUGUAGGCUUCACUAACUCUUCCCGUCCCUCUCCCUCAGGCCCAGCACUGUCUGUAGGCUUCACUAACUCUUCCCGUCCCUCUCCCUCAGGCCCAGCACCGUCUGUAGGCUUCACUAACUCUUCCCAUCCCUCUCCCUCAGGCCCAGCACUGUCUGUAGGUCUAACUCUUCCUGUCCCUCUCCCUCAGGCCGAGCACUGUCUGUAGGUCUAACUCUUCCCGUCCCUCUCCCUCGGUCCCAGCACUGUCUGUAGGUCUAACUCUUCCCGUCUCUCUCCCUCAGUCCCAGCACUGUCUGUAGGUCUAACUCUUCCCGUCCCUCUCCCUCAGGCCCAGCACUGUCUGUAGGUCUAACUCUUCCCGUCUCUCUCCCUCAGGCCCAGCACUGUCUGUAGGUCUAACUCUUCCCGUCCCUCUCCCUCAGGCCCAGCACUGUCUGUAGGUCUAACUCUUCCCGUCCCUCUCCCUCAGGCCCAGCACUGUCUGUAGGCUUCACUAACUCUUCCCGUCCCUCUCCCUCAGGCCCAGCACUGUCUGUAGGCUUCACUAACUCUUCCCGUCCCUCUCCCUCAGUCCCAGCACUGUCUGUAGGCUUCACUAACUCUUCCCGUCUCUCUCCCUCAGGCCCAGCACUGUCUGUAGGUCUAACUCUUCCCGUCCCUCUCCCUCAGGCCCAGCACUGUCUGUAGGCUUCACUAACUCUUCCCGUCUCUCUC